CUUAGUGGCGGACGGGUGAGUAACGCGUGGGCAACCUGCCCCGUGCCGGGGGAUACCGCCUGGAAACAGGCGCUAAUACCGCAUAAGCGCAUACAGCCGCAUGGCAGUAUGCGGAAAGCUCCGGCGGCACGGGAUGGGCCCGCGCCCGAUUAGCCUGUUGGCGGGGUAACGGCCCACCAAAGCGACGAUCGGUAGCCGGCCUGAGAGGGCGGACGGCCACAUUGGGACUGAGACACGGCCCAAACUCCUACGGGAGGCAGCAG
Molecule: ribosomal RNA, 263 nt
Filed under: uncultured bacterium
Lineage: Bacteria
Description: partial 16S ribosomal RNA
Rfam family: Bacterial small subunit ribosomal RNA
Source: RNAcentral